Molecule: long non-coding RNA, 343 nt
Filed under: Mytilus galloprovincialis (Mediterranean mussel)
Lineage: Eukaryota; Metazoa; Mollusca; Bivalvia; Mytilida; Mytilidae
Source: RNAcentral
GUAAAAUUAUAUAAGAGUUGCAAGUCACUCAUGAAAAUUUUAUAUUCUAAUUAGUACAUCAAAGGACCGGUCAAUUUCAUAACUAACCAAACGUAACAUUUAUUCAUUUUGAUUUAUAUAUAAUUUCCAGGGAGGCACUCUCAAUAAAAACAUUUUUUGUUGAAGCUUAUGAAAGCAACAACUUUCGAUCAGGACACUGGUUAGUCGAGUAUCAUUUUGGUAAUCGAUACAUGUUACUACCAAGCCAUUCUCGAGUACCAUCCCAGCCUACUAUUUUAUUUAAUUUGACUGUCAACUUUCUUCUUGACACAUUAUUUAUAUAAUAACAUCCAAAAUACAAAAC